RNAcentral lists this ribosomal RNA (253 nucleotides) under uncultured prokaryote. RNAcentral describes it as "partial 16S ribosomal RNA". It matches the Rfam family "Bacterial small subunit ribosomal RNA", at positions 524 to 776 of the family's 1533-position model. The record is from RNAcentral.
UACGAAGGGGGCUAGCGUUGCUCGGAAUUACUGGGCGUAAAGCGUGCGCAGGCGGUUUUGUAAGCCAGAUGUGAAAUCCCCGGGCUUAACCUGGGAAUGGCAUUUGGGACUGCAAGGCUGGAGUGUGGCAGAGGGGACUGGAAUUCCUGGUGUAGCAGUGAAAUGCGUAGAUAUUCGCAAGAACACCAGUGGCGAAGGCGGCUCACUGGCCCGGUACUGACGCUGAGGCACGAAAGCGUGGGGAGCAAACAGG